GGGCCCGUAGCUCAGCCUGGUAGAGCGGCGGGCUCUUAACCCGUAGACCAGCGGGCCUUCAGGCCUGGCUGGGCGGAAGUCCCGGGUUCGAAUCCCGGCGGGCCCG
RNAcentral lists this transfer RNA (106 nucleotides) under Hyperthermus butylicus DSM 5456. It matches the Rfam family "tRNA". Rfam says of the family: Transfer RNA (tRNA) molecules are approximately 80 nucleotides in length. Their secondary structure includes four short double-helical elements and three loops (D, anti-codon, and T loops). Further hydrogen bonds mediate the characteristic L-shaped molecular structure. tRNAs have two regions of fundamental functional importance: the anti-codon, which is responsible for specific mRNA codon recognition, and the 3' end, to which the tRNAs corresponding amino acid is attached (by aminoacyl-tRNA synthetases). tRNAs cope with the degeneracy of the genetic code in two manners: having more than one tRNA (with a specific anti-codon) for a particular amino acid; and 'wobble' base-pairing, i.e. permitting non-standard base-pairing at the 3rd anti-codon position. Lineage: Archaea; Thermoproteati; Thermoproteota; Thermoprotei; Desulfurococcales; Pyrodictiaceae. The record is from Rfam by way of RNAcentral.